This 186-nucleotide unclassified non-coding RNA is filed under the name Fusarium sp. Sd1-ITS43. RNAcentral's name for it is "sequence contains 18S rRNA gene, ITS1 and 5.8S rRNA gene". The stretch from base 137 to 186 matches the Rfam family "5.8S ribosomal RNA", at positions 1 to 50 of the family's 154-position model. Lineage: Eukaryota; Fungi; Ascomycota; Sordariomycetes; Hypocreales; Nectriaceae. The record is from RNAcentral.
UCAUCAACCCUGUGACAUACCUAUAACGUUGCCUCGGCGGGAACAGACGGCCCCGUAACACGGGCCGCCCCCGCCAGAGGACCCCCUAACUCUGUUUCUAUAAUGUUUCUUCUGAGUAAACAAGCAAAUAAAUUAAAACUUUCAACAACGGAUCUCUUGGCUCUGGCAUCGAUGAAGAACGCAGCA